This 76-nucleotide small RNA is filed under the name Arabidopsis thaliana (thale cress). Its description in RNAcentral is "ATSL189760". The record is from RNAcentral. Lineage: Eukaryota; Viridiplantae; Streptophyta; Magnoliopsida; Brassicales; Brassicaceae.
AGAAACACACGCACGCGCCAGUCUUGAUCAAGAUCAGCUUUCGCAUUGUAAAGCGGCACGAAUCUUCUGAACGGUG